AACGAACGCUGGCGGCAUGCCUAACACAUGCAAGUCGAACGAGACCUUCGGGUCUAGUGGCGCACGGGUGCGUAACGCGUGGGAACCUGCCCUUAGGUUCUGAAUAACUCCCCGAAAGGGGUGCUAAUACCGGAUAAUUUCUUCGGACCAAAGAUUUAUCGCAUUUGGAUGGGCUCGCGUUGGAUUAGCUAGUUGGUAGGGUAAAAGCCUACAAAGGCGACGAUCCUUAGCUGGUCUGAGAGGAGGAUCAGCCACACUGGGACUGAGACACGGCCCAGACUCCUACGGGAGGAAGCGGUGGGGAAAAUUGGCAAAUGGGCGAAAGCCUAAGCCAGCAAUGCCGCGUGAGUGAUGAAGGCCUUAGGGUUGUAAAGCCCUUUUAACCGGGAUGAUAAUGACAGUAACGGGAGAAUAAGCCCCGGCUAACUCCGUG
This 433-nucleotide ribosomal RNA is filed under the name uncultured bacterium. Its description in RNAcentral is "partial 16S ribosomal RNA". It matches the Rfam family "Bacterial small subunit ribosomal RNA", at positions 29 to 507 of the family's 1533-position model. The record is from RNAcentral.